Molecule: long non-coding RNA, 1195 nt
Filed under: Parus major (Great Tit)
Lineage: Eukaryota; Metazoa; Chordata; Aves; Passeriformes; Paridae
Description: lncRNA (ENSPMJG00000002026.1)
Source: RNAcentral
CCGCGGCCUUACCGGGGCCUCCCCGCAGCCUUUCGGGGCUCGGCGGGGCCGUUUGGGGCCUGCCCGGGGCUCGGCGGCGCCGUUUGAGGCCUGGCCGAGGCUUGAGCGGAGCUUUUUGGGGUCGAGCCGGGCCCUUCCCGAGGCCUCCGGGGCCGAACCGGGGCAGAACCGGGGCUUUAAAGGCCUUUAACGGGAAGAACCCCCCGGUGCUCCCGCUUUUGAUUCUUUCUCUCCGGAAUUUGGGGGCGAUUUCAGCCGAAAUCGCUGUAAAAUCGGAGCUUUUUCGUUUUGUAUUUGUCUUAUUUAACAGCAGCGCUUUUCCCGUUUUUUUUCCCCCGGGAUUUCGGCUCCUCCCAAGGGUCAGAAAAUCCCGGGAUUUGAGGAGCGGGAUGAAAUUCCAAGGAUUUCUUCACUCCAGCGAGGAUUUUUUGGCUUUUUUACUGCGGUUUUUGCUUUGAGCGAACCCAAAUCCGUGUGAAAUCCGUGAUCCAGGGAAUUCCUCCCUCGGGAAUGCUGUCCCUGGAACCAGGAAUGACUUAAGGGUAACGCCGCACUUGGCUUUUCCUCGAUAAAUUAUUAUUUAGGAAUUUAAGGAAAAAGAAAAAGGGUUUUUUGGUUUUUUUUUUUGGAUAAAAAUCCGGUGUUUUCCGGCAAGGACUGCCAGCCAUCCCGGCUUCUGGAACUUUGGGAGCCUCCGCGGGGGAUUUUUUGGGGAGUUUUAUUUAAAGAAAAAAUUAAAACAAAAAGGAAAAUCACACAGAAACCCAAGGAGGAGGAAAAAGGGGAUCGAAGAUUCCUGAGGAACGCUCCCGCUCGGGGUUGCAGGGAUCCGGGCACGGCUGGGAUCGCUCCUGGCUGAGAUUUGGAGGAAAGGAGACAUUUGAAGGAAAACUCCCUUUAAAAAGCGGGAUCACAGCUCCAGGUGCUUCCCAUUCCCAUUUUCCCCCCCUGGAGCCAGGUUGGUUUUUUCCAGGGAUUUAUUGGGAAUUUCCUGCUGGGAUUUGGGGAUGGGUGGGGGAUUCCUGCUGUGAUCCCGAUGUUUCCCUUUGUUUUGGAGACCGUAUCCAGGGAAAGGCCAGGGCUGGGAGCAGGAACAGGGAUGGAUCCCCAUGGAGAAUCCCAGGGAUUGGGAUCCUUAUGGAAAAACCCUGGGAUUGGGGUUGGGAUCUCAGUGGAAGAUCCUUGGGAUUGGGGU